AGUCUUGGGGUGUCAUCACAUUAGACUGCAAAUCUAGAGAAGCAGGAGAAGAUCCUGCCGAGACUU
Molecule: transfer RNA, 66 nt
Filed under: Bothus myriaster (Indo-Pacific oval flounder)
Lineage: Eukaryota; Metazoa; Chordata; Actinopteri; Pleuronectiformes; Bothidae
Description: tRNA-Cys
Rfam family: tRNA
About the family: Transfer RNA (tRNA) molecules are approximately 80 nucleotides in length. Their secondary structure includes four short double-helical elements and three loops (D, anti-codon, and T loops).
Source: RNAcentral